Molecule: ribosomal RNA, 253 nt
Filed under: uncultured bacterium
Lineage: Bacteria
Description: partial 16S ribosomal RNA
Rfam family: Bacterial small subunit ribosomal RNA
Source: RNAcentral
UACAGAGGGUGCGAGCGUUAAUCGGAGUUACUGGGCGUAAAGGGCGCGUAGGUGGUCUUGCGAGUGUGAUGUGAAAGCCCUGGGCUUAACCUAGGAAGUGCAUCGCAAACGGCAAGACUGGAGUAUAAGAGAGGGUAGUGGAAUUUCCGGUGUAGCGGUGAAAUGCGUAGAGAUCGGAAGGAACGUCAAUGGCGAAGGCAGCUACCUGGCUUAAUACUGACACUGAGGCGCGAAAGCGUGGGGAUCAAACAGG